Molecule: ribosomal RNA, 273 nt
Filed under: uncultured bacterium
Lineage: Bacteria
Description: partial 16S ribosomal RNA
Rfam family: Bacterial small subunit ribosomal RNA
Source: RNAcentral
UACGGAGGAUGCGAGCGUUAUCCGGAUUUAUUGGGUUUAAAGGGUGCGUAGGCGGCCUGUUAAGUCAGCGGUGAAAUCUAGGAGCUUAACUCCUAAAUUGCCAUUGAAACUGGCGGGCUUGAGUGUAGAUGAGGUAGGCGGAAUGCGUGGUGUAGCGGUGGAAUGCAUAGAUAUCACGCAGAACUCCAAUUGCGAAGGCAGCUUACUAAGGUACAACUGACGCUGAAGCACGAAAGCGUGGGUAUCAAACAGGAUUAGAUACCCGGGUAGUCC